ACUAAAAAGAAGUGCUACUUUAUAUUAUUUCAUGCAGUACCAAAUUCACAGACAAAAGAAAUUGAUAGUAUAAAGUUUCUUUCGUACCUUAAUUACCAAUGUCCUGCUGGUUGCCAACAGGGUUUUGCUUUUUCCUAUAAUCUCAUGGAUGCAUGCCUCUUGUCUUACUUGGAUGCUGAAUCUUACUUGUACUACUUGGUCCCCUCUUUUUAUCUAAACCAAUAUAAAAAUUUAAAUAAAAAUGUUUUUUUUCUGCGGAUGCAACAAGAAAUCUGUGUGCUUGUAUUGUAUUCGAUUAGAUUCGUAAUUUUAAAUCAUUUGCGGAAAAGUAUCCAAUCGAUCACGAUGAAUGGCUCUCCGAUGUUAGUUCAACUGUUAGAUGAAAAAGAGAAUUCUCUC
RNAcentral lists this long non-coding RNA (399 nucleotides) under Gossypium raimondii (Peruvian cotton). Its description in RNAcentral is "long non-coding RNA (GRAI_LNC006916)". Lineage: Eukaryota; Viridiplantae; Streptophyta; Magnoliopsida; Malvales; Malvaceae. The record is from RNAcentral.